Molecule: long non-coding RNA, 775 nt
Organism: Daucus carota subsp. sativus
Lineage: Eukaryota; Viridiplantae; Streptophyta; Magnoliopsida; Apiales; Apiaceae
Exons: 3
Source: RefSeq, a predicted model, not a curated record
AAUUUGAACUCUAUCUUUUGAACUCUACGUUGUAGUUAUUGAAUGUACUUGCAUGUUUGCACUUUUGAUCUAUUUGAUUAAUCAUUCACAUAAUUUCAUUUCUAAGAUUAAUUAUUGAUGUUCCUUUAUUUUCAUGGUCUGCAAUUCGAGUUUUUAAGGUAGACUGAUUGCUUUACAUUCACGAAAAAAAGAUAAUCAGUUUCAUACAGACCAAGUUAAAGGUUUGGACAAUAGAUUAUAUAAUUGGAAACUACAUCAAACUGAUGGUCAAACAUUUAAGCUUACAGACGUCUUUGUACUCUGUGAAAGUAUGCAAAAUCUUUCUCAGGACAUUGCCUACCCUAUUUCAAGCUGACACCCCACACAUUACACUAGAAUAGAUAUUUGUUUUAUCACAAUAUUUUCUAUCCUGUAAGUUUGUUUCCAUUUUUAUACUCCAUCUUAUCUUCUUGGUCUCUUAAAUUCAAGAAAGCAUUCUUGACCACCCAUCAGUUAUUACACUACAUAGACUCUUCAUAGUUCAUACUCACCUAACAGCUUUCAGAUUCCCACAUAAUUUCUUCAAGUUCAACUCUAUCCACCAAGAUGCUGUUUAACAAGAUUCAGAAACUGCAGAGUCUUCAAACAGAAAAAACGGAAUGGACCAUACGCGUUCGAGCACAGUCCAUCUGGGAAGGUGUGAAUCGUAAAACUAACGAAUUUAAGGGACUCAACCUCAUCUUAAUUGAUGAUUCGAGUACUCGAAUCCAUGCUUUUCUGAAUGCAAAUUGUUGUG